RNAcentral lists this ribosomal RNA (504 nucleotides) under uncultured bacterium. RNAcentral describes it as "partial 16S ribosomal RNA". It matches the Rfam family "Bacterial small subunit ribosomal RNA", at positions 30 to 523 of the family's 1533-position model. The record is from RNAcentral.
AUUGAACGCUGGCGGCAGGCCUAACACAUGCAAGUCGAACGGUAGCACAGAGAGCUUGCUCUCGGGUGACGAGUGGCGGACGGGUGAGUAACGUCUGGGAAACUGCCCGAUGGAGGGGGAUAACUACUGGAAACGGUAGCUAAUACCGCAUAACGUCGCCAGACCAAAGUGGGGGACCUUCGGGCCUCACACCAUCGGAUGUGCCCAGAUGGGAUUAGCUAGUAGGUGGGGUAAUGGCUCACCUAGGCGACGAUCCCUAGCUGGUCUGAGAGGAUGACCAGCCACACUGGAACUGAGACACGGUCCAGACUCCUACGGGAGGCAGCAGUGGGGAAUAUUGCACAAUGGGCGCAAGCCUGAUGGAGCCAUGCCGCGUGUAUGAAGAAGGCCUUCGGGUUGUAAAGUACUUUCAGCGGGGAGGAAGGCGGUGAAGUUAAUAACUUCACCGAUUGACGUUACCCGCAGAAGAAGCACCGGCUAACUCCGUGCCAGCAGCCGCCGUAA